GACGAACGCUGGCGGCGUGCUUAACACAUGCAAGUCGAACGGAAAGGCCCUGCUUUUGUGGGGUGCUCGAGUGGCGAACGGGUGAGUAACACGUGAGUAACCUGCCCUUGACUUUGGGAUAACUUCAGGAAACUGGGGCUAAUACCUGAUAGGAGCUCCUGCUGCAUGGUGGGGGUUGGAAAGUUUCGGCGGUUGGGGAUGGACUCGCGGCUUAUCAGCUUGUUGGUGGGGUAGUGGCUUACCAAGGCUUUGACGGGUAGCCGGCCUGAGAGGGUGACCGGCAAAAAUGGGACUGAGAUACGGCCCAGAGUCCUACGGGAGGCAGCAGUGGGGAAUAUUGCACAAUGGGCGGAAGCCUGAUGCAGAAACGCCGCGUGCGGGAUGAAGGCCUUCGGGUUGUAAACCGCUUUAGCCUGUGACGAAGCGUGAGUGACGGUAAUGGGUAAAGAAGCACCGGCUAACUACGUG
Molecule: ribosomal RNA, 468 nt
Filed under: uncultured bacterium
Lineage: Bacteria
Description: partial 16S ribosomal RNA
Rfam family: Bacterial small subunit ribosomal RNA
Source: RNAcentral